Molecule: ribosomal RNA, 349 nt
Filed under: Saccharomyces cerevisiae (brewer's yeast)
Lineage: Eukaryota; Fungi; Ascomycota; Saccharomycetes; Saccharomycetales; Saccharomycetaceae
Also listed under: 2 other names
Description: SSU rRNA
Rfam family: Eukaryotic small subunit ribosomal RNA
Source: RNAcentral
GUAGUCAUAUGCUUGUCUCAAAGAUUAAGCCAUGCAUGUCUAAGUAUAAGCAAUUUAUACAGUGAAACUGCGAAUGGCUCAUUAAAUCAGUUAUCGUUUAUUUGAUAGUUCCUUUACUACAUGGUAUAACUGUGGUAAUUCUAGAGCUAAUACAUGCUUAAAAUCUCGACCCUUUGGAAGAGAUGUAUUUAUUAGAUAAAAAAUCAAUGUCUUCGGACUCUUUGAUGAUUCAUAAUAACUUUUCGAAUCGCAUGGCCUUGUGCUGGCGAUGGUUCAUUCAAAUUUCUGCCCUAUCAACUUUCGAUGGUAGGAUAGUGGCCUACCAUGGUUUCAACGGGUAACGGGGAAU